Meriones unguiculatus (Mongolian gerbil) is the source of this 554-nucleotide long non-coding RNA. RefSeq lists it as uncharacterized. The record is from RefSeq and is a predicted model, not a curated record. The transcript is spliced from 2 exons. Lineage: Eukaryota; Metazoa; Chordata; Mammalia; Rodentia; Muridae.
AUUCGGCCGUCCCCGCUCUGAGAGGGAGGGACGGAGAGCGAACUGUCAGAUCCCAGCGAGAGCGGGCGCCCGAGAGGGAGAGUGAAAUAGAGAGAGAGAGAGAGAGAGAGAGAGAGAGAGAGGGAGAGAGAGGGAGGGAAAGGGAGACGGGCAGGAGGAGAGAACCCGGCGCGGAGCUAGCCCCGGCUGCGCCUCUGCCUCGGCACGCCCGCGCCCGCCGCCGGGCUACCCAGGAGCGCCGCGACGUGCCCGCCAGAGUCGCUAGUGUAUCAAGGAUCCCCCGUUUGCACACACACGUCUCCACCUCCACCAAUGCACUCUUCUUCCUCCUCCUUCUCCAGACAACCGCGGGGGAAAAAUAAAAGCUCAACCCCAACCAUCAGCAACAAGGAAAGAUGUCGCACCAGACUGUGAGUGUUGCGAGGAAAACGAAAAGGGACUCUUGUUUCAGAGCCACCCGAGAGCCCCAGCAAUAGCGACUUCAGAGACAUGCACCAUCGCCAGAAGUUUUCCUAGGACAGAAAAAGAAAAGGAAAGAAAAGCCAAACCAAAAA